This 1519-nucleotide ribosomal RNA is filed under the name Weissella confusa. RNAcentral describes it as "bacterial SSU rRNA". It matches the Rfam family "Bacterial small subunit ribosomal RNA". Lineage: Bacteria; Bacillati; Bacillota; Bacilli; Lactobacillales; Lactobacillaceae. The record is from RNAcentral.
AGAGUUUGAUCCUGGCUCAGGAUGAACGCUGGCGGCGUGCCUAAUACAUGCAAGUCGAACGCUUUGUGGUUCAACUGAUUUGAAGAGCUUGCUCAGAUAUGACGAUGGACAUUGCAAAGAGUGGCGAACGGGUGAGUAACACGUGGGAAACCUACCUCUUAGCAGGGGAUAACAUUUGGAAACAGAUACUAAUACCGUAUAACAAUGACAACCGCAUGGUUGUUAUUUAAAAGAUGGUUCUGCUAUCACUAAGAGAUGGUCCCGCGGUGCAUUAGCUAGUUGGUAAGGUAAUGGCUUACCAAGGCGAUGAUGCAUAGCCGAGUUGAGAGACUGAUCGGCCACAAUGGGACUGAGACACGGCCCAUACUCCUACGGGAGGCAGCAGUAGGGAAUCUUCCACAAUGGGCGAAAGCCUGAUGGAGCAACGCCGCGUGUGUGAUGAAGGGUUUCGGCUCGUAAAACACUGUUGUAAGAGAAGAAUGACAUUGAGAGUAACUGUUCAAUGUGUGACGGUAUCUUACCAGAAAGGAACGGCUAAAUACGUGCCAGCAGCCGCGGUAAUACGUAUGUUCCAAGCGUUAUCCGGAUUUAUUGGGCGUAAAGCGAGCGCAGACGGUUAUUUAAGUCUGAAGUGAAAGCCCUCAGCUCAACUGAGGAAUUGCUUUGGAAACUGGAUGACUUGAGUGCAGUAGAGGAAAGUGGAACUCCAUGUGUAGCGGUGAAAUGCGUAGAUAUAUGGAAGAACACCAGUGGCGAAGGCGGCUUUCUGGACUGUAACUGACGUUGAGGCUCGAAAGUGUGGGUAGCAAACAGGAUUAGAUACCCUGGUAGUCCACACCGUAAACGAUGAGUGCUAGGUGUUUGAGGGUUUCCGCCCUUAAGUGCCGCAGCUAACGCAUUAAGCACUCCGCCUGGGGAGUACGACCGCAAGGUUGAAACUCAAAGGAAUUGACGGGGACCCGCACAAGCGGUGGAGCAUGUGGUUUAAUUCGAAGCAACGCGAAGAACCUUACCAGGUCUUGACAUCCCUUGACAACUCCAGAGAUGGAGCGUUCCCUUCGGGGACAAGGUGACAGGUGGUGCAUGGUUGUCGUCAGCUCGUGUCGUGAGAUGUUGGGUUAAGUCCCGCAACGAGCGCAACCCUUAUUACUAGUUGCCAGCAUUCAGUUGGGCACUCUAGUGAGACUGCCGGUGACAAACCGGAGGAAGGUGGGGAUGACGUCAAAUCAUCAUGCCCCUUAUGACCUGGGCUACACACGUGCUACAAUGGCGUAUACAACGAGUUGCCAACCCGCGAGGGUGAGCUAAUCUCUUAAAGUACGUCUCAGUUCGGAUUGUAGGCUGCAACUCGCCUACAUGAAGUCGGAAUCGCUAGUAAUCGCGGAUCAGCACGCCGCGGUGAAUACGUUCCCGGGUCUUGUACACACCGCCCGUCACACCAUGAGAGUUUGUAACACCCAAAGCCGGUGGGGUAACCUUCGGGAGCCAGCCGUCUAAGGUGGGACAGAUGAUUAGGGUG